GAACCUUACCUGGUCUUGACAUCCCGGAGACCCUUAGGAAACUAGGGGUGCUUCCAUCUGGAGAAUCUGGAGACAGGUGCUGCAUGGCUGUCGUCAGCUCGUGUCGUGAGAUGUUGGGUUAAGUCCCGCAACGAGCGCAACCCUUGCCUUUAGUUGCCAGCAGUUCGGCUGGGCACUCUAAAGGGACUGCCGGUGUUAAACCGGAGGAAGGUGGGGAUGACGUCAAGUCCUCAUGGCCUUUAUGACCAGGGCUACACACGUACUACAAUGGCCGAUACAAAGGGCAGCGACACUGCGAGGUGAAGCCAAUCCCGUAAAAUCGGUCUCAGUCCGGAUUGGAGUCUGCAACUCGACUCCAUGAAGUUGGAAUCGCUAGUAAUCGUGGAUCAGCAUGCCACGGUGAAUACGUUCCCGGGCCUU
This 420-nucleotide ribosomal RNA is filed under the name uncultured Desulfobulbus sp. Its description in RNAcentral is "bacterial SSU rRNA". It matches the Rfam family "Bacterial small subunit ribosomal RNA", at positions 966 to 1382 of the family's 1533-position model. Lineage: Bacteria; Pseudomonadati; Thermodesulfobacteriota; Desulfobulbia; Desulfobulbales; Desulfobulbaceae. The record is from RNAcentral.